GAUGAACGCUGGCGGCGUGCUUAACACAUGCAAGUCGAACGAAGCUGUUGUUUGGAGACCUUCGGGUGGAAGAAUAACAGACUGAGUGGCGGACGGGUGAGUAACGCGUGGGUAACCUACCUUGCACAGGGGGACAACAGUUGGAAACGACUGCUAAUACCGCAUAAGACCACAGUACCGCAUGGUACGGGGGUAAAAACUGAGGUGGUGCAAGAUGGACCCGCGUCUGAUUAGCUAGUUGGUGGGGUAAAGGCCUACCAAGGCGACGAUCAGUAGCCGACCUGAGAGGGUGAUCGGCCACAUUGGGACUGAGACACGGCCCAAACUCCUACGGGAGGCAGCAGUGGGGAAUAUUGGACAAUGGGGGGAACCCUGAUCCAGCGACGCCGCGUGAGUGAAGAAGUAUUUCGGUAUGUAAAGCUCUAUCAGCAGGGAAGAAAAUGACGGUACCUGACUAAGAAGCCCCGGCUAACUACGUGC
This 480-nucleotide ribosomal RNA is filed under the name uncultured bacterium. RNAcentral's name for it is "bacterial SSU rRNA". It matches the Rfam family "Bacterial small subunit ribosomal RNA", at positions 28 to 508 of the family's 1533-position model. The record is from RNAcentral.